RNAcentral lists this long non-coding RNA (237 nucleotides) under Elaeis guineensis (African oil palm). RNAcentral's name for it is "long non-coding RNA (EGUI_LNC042736)". Lineage: Eukaryota; Viridiplantae; Streptophyta; Magnoliopsida; Arecales; Arecaceae. The record is from RNAcentral.
AUCUACCCACUUGAAAGUGUUUCAUCUAGAAUUAACCUCUUCCGUGCCACCACACACAAGAAAAAAAAAGGCCCCACCCCAUUUAUUUUUGGCGUUAUGAAGGAGGAGUCCUUCUAGUUUACUCUUAAUUUUCCUUCCUUAUUUCCAUGCAUUCUUUUGUUUCUCGUGCCACUAGAUGAUACCUUCGGAUGUGUGGAUGUAGAAGAGAAGGAAGAGUCCUUCUUUGUGAAAGAACUC